Molecule: long non-coding RNA, 1226 nt
Organism: Rana temporaria (common frog)
Lineage: Eukaryota; Metazoa; Chordata; Amphibia; Anura; Ranidae
Exons: 4
Source: RefSeq, a predicted model, not a curated record
GGCGGGAAGAGGGGAGGUGCCUACGGCGCCUCGGCUUCUCUUGUUUAAAACAAAAAACGGCGUGGCAGCAUGGGAGGCUUUGUUUACACUGCGGCCUGCAAGCCAGAUAUAACACACAAGCGGGCCGGGGUUUGGAGACCCCUGUCUUAUAUCUACAUUAUUCUAGCUGAACUGCUUAUCUUAGGUGUAAUUUCCCAAAAAGCUAUUAACAAACAAUUUUGUUUCUAGAAAACAGUCAGUUUGUCGUGGCGUAUACGGUGGAUGAUCAAGACUGUGAAAAUCUAUGUGUUCAAUCUCCAGUGAAUGGGGAGCCUAUAGCAGGACCAUCUUGUACUGGAGCGGAGACAGAAAAUGCCACUGUUCAUCCAGAAGUACCAAAUGAAGUUACACAACCAAAUCAGGUAGACGCAAGUCUACAAGAAAUGGUGGAAAAUGCAGCAAUAAACAACGCUUCUUUGUCUGUUCCUCUUCGGGCUCCAAGAGGCAGAAGAAGAAGAGAACUGUUGUCCGAACGUGUGGAUGCUGCAAACAAUGUUGCUGACCAAUUAGGGCAGACUUUGAAUGCACUGAUCCAAAAAAUACAUGAUCGUCAAAACGUGCAAGAUUGUUUUCAACAGGCUGUGGUAACACAAAUGACAAGAACAAAUGACAAUCUUGAACAGAUUAAUAAUUAUUUGGCUAAUGUGUUGGAGGAGCAAAAAAAUAUGUCUACUGCCCUGUUCUAUUGAGUUGGUGCUGUGGCUCCACUGUGUCGACAAAUGGCCCCUCCUAAUGAGUCAGAUAAUGACACGGAUGCCACAAACAUUUGAUUACGUUUGGAAAAAGAAAAUAAACCACGCUAAUGAUCAGUGAAUAUUGAAAAGUGAAAAAUGAGUAUGUAUACCAUACAAAUAUUCUAAUAAAAUAGUGAAAAAACAGUCCACAGUGAAUAGAGGAAAACCUUGAUGAAUGUCCUUAAAGACAACAAGCCCCUGUAGUCCAAACUGAGAGGGCUACCGGGAUUCCAAAUGAAAAUGUAUUCAUAUAUUAGAGUCCGAUAAGAAGAAAAGGUGACAUCCACCCAGGUGCAGUCAGAUCUCAAUGGAUCAAAGGAAUAAUGGUUAACACUGAUGUGACAUGCAGCUGAACACCUCCACCACACGCAUAUGCAAGUCUGCUUACCAGAUGGAAAUGGUCCCUGGGUUAGAGGAGACCAAAAACAGCAUAUAGCAAUUAGCCCGGUAGCC